Molecule: ribosomal RNA, 879 nt
Filed under: Triticum aestivum (bread wheat)
Lineage: Eukaryota; Viridiplantae; Streptophyta; Magnoliopsida; Poales; Poaceae
Description: partial small subunit ribosomal RNA
Source: RNAcentral
AUGGGGGCGCGGACGCCGAGCGCUCCGGCGGGGUCCAGCGCGCUGGUCAGGCUCGGGCUGCUGGGCGGCGCGGGGCAACAAGACCCGCCACAAGUCGUCUUCAAGCGCCUCGAGGGGAUCAAGCAAAAGGUGUACGCCGAGGGGACCCAAAUCGUCAUCAGUGGCUCCAGAAGCCGAUCAUCUACGACGUCUGCGCACGACCCAACCCAAGCUGGUGGAGAACACCUUCGGGAGCCGGGAUUGGCCGUGAGCAGGGAGAUCAGGAAGGUGCUGACAGAGAGGGCAAAGAAUUUCAACAUUGCUCUGGAUGAUGUGUCCAUUACCAGUCUCAGCUUUGGUAAAGAGUUCACUCAUGCCAUUGAAGCCAAACAGGUUGCUGCUCAGAAAGCUGAGCGUGCCAAGUUCAUUGUUGAGAAGGCUGAGCAAGACAAGAGAAGUGCAAUUGUCAGGGCACAGGAAGCGCUCUCCCGAUGGAGCGCCUGUGUUCGGCUGGCUCCGCUCCGUGAGAACGUGGGCUGGCAGCGCAUUACAGUCAAGUAUGGGCUGUUCAGGUGGACUUUCAGUGGUAUGUUUGUACGAUUGAACAUAGUUUCAGACUUCCAGUGGUAUGUUGGCUGUGAGCAGGGAGAUCAGGGAGAUUUUGACAGUGAGGCUAAGAAUUUCAAUAUUGCUCUGGAUGGUGUGUCCGUUACUAGUCUCAAUUUUGGUAAAGAGUUCACUCAUGCCAUUGAAGCUGAACAGGUUGCUGCACACCAAGCUGAGCAUGCCAAAUUCAUUGUUGAGAAGGCUGAGCAAGACAAGAAAAGCGCAAUUGUUCUUUAUGCCCCGUUGACAGUUUCAGUCAUAGUUACUACCACCGGUAAGCAAAACAGGAACUAG